UGGGAGGCAGCAGUGAGGAAUAUUGGACAAUGGGCGCAAGCCUGAUCCAGCUAUGUUGCGUGAGUGAUGACAGUUCCAUAUAAACAUGCCAAGGCACGUUGAAUUGUAAAACUCUUUUAUCAAUGUUCAUAGUGAUAUAAUUGAUGAAUAAGCUCCGGCCAACUCCGUGCCAGCAGCCGCGGUAAUACGGGGGGAGCAAGCGUUGCUCGGUUUAACUGGGCGUAAAGCGUGCUAAGGCUGUUUUAUAAGUUAACAAUCAAACCUUGAAGCUCAACUUCAUACAAUUGUUAAUACUGUUUAACUAGAAUGCAGUAGGGGUGAACGGAACUCCAAGUGUAGAGGUUAAAUUCGUUGAUAUUUGGAAGACCGCCGAAGGCGAAGGCAGUUCACUAUGCUGUUAUUGACGCUUAAUUGCACGAAAGCGUGGGUAGCAAACAGGAUUAGAUACCCUGGUAGUCCACGCUGUAAACGAUGAGUGCUAGCAGUUGGGGAUAAGCUGUAUAACUUGUAUGGUUUAUAUAAUUUCUAGAUUGCACAGCUAACGCGUUAAGCACUCCGCCAGGGUAGUACGGUCGCAAGAUUGAAACCCAAAGGAAUUGACGGAGGCCCGUCCAAGCGGUGGAGCAUGUGGUUUAAUUCGAAACUACACGAAGAACCUUACCAGCCCUUGACAUUUUAGGCUCAAAACUGUUUAUUAAAUUAAACACUUAUAGCUCGUAAAGGGGUUAUAGGCCUUUAACAGGUGCUGCAUGGCUGUCGUCAGCUCGUGUCGUGAGAUGUAUGGUUAGCUCCCAUAACGAGCGCAACCCUUGCCCCUAGUUGCUUAAGGCAAUGAAACCAGCUCUCUAGGGGGACUGCUAAUUCAAAGUUAGAGGAAGGAGAGGAUAACGUCAAGUCAUCAUGGCCCUUAUGGGCUGGGCCACACACGUGCUACAAUGGCAACCACAGAGAGCCGCAAUGCCGCGAGGCUGAGCAAAUCUUUUAAAAGUUGUUUAAGUUCAGAUUGCACCUCUGUAAUUCGAGUGCAUGAAGCUGGAAUCGCUAGUAAUCGCGGAUCAGCAUGCCGCGGUGAAUACGUUCUCGGGCCUAGUACACACUGCCCGUCACGCCCCGGGAGCCAGCUUUGCUUCAAGCUUAAGCAUUAGCAAAGGUAAUAGCAAGGCAGAUGACUGGGGCGAAGUCGUAACAAGGUAGCCGUAGGUGAACCUGUGGCUG
Molecule: ribosomal RNA, 1215 nt
Filed under: Candidatus Hodgkinia cicadicola
Lineage: Bacteria; Pseudomonadati; Pseudomonadota; Alphaproteobacteria; Hyphomicrobiales
Description: bacterial SSU rRNA
Rfam family: Bacterial small subunit ribosomal RNA
Source: RNAcentral